CAGCCGUAAACUAUGCUCGCUAGGUGUCAGGCAUGGCGCGACCGUGUCUGGUGCCGCAGGGAAGCCGUGAAGCGAGCCACCUGGGAAGUACGGCCGCAAGGCUGAAACUUAAGGAAUUGGCGGGGGAGCACAACAACGGGUGGAGCCUGCGGUUUAAUUGGACUCAACGCCGGGAAGCUCACCGGAUAAGACAGCGGAAUGAUUGCCGGGCUGAAGACUCUGCAUGACUAGCUGAGAGGAGGUGCAUGGCGUAGACGUCU
This 260-nucleotide ribosomal RNA is filed under the name uncultured archaeon. RNAcentral's name for it is "partial 16S ribosomal RNA". It matches the Rfam family "Archaeal small subunit ribosomal RNA", at positions 748 to 1009 of the family's 1478-position model. The record is from RNAcentral.